CUUAGGAUGUGCUUCUAUCAUCUGACAUAACUGAAAGCAUGUCCUGGAGUAACCCCUGAUAACACAGGACUAUUCUCUUCUGAAUCAGAGUCCUAACCUGCGGUAGAGGAUGAGGAAUUAUCCCAGGAUGAAAUAAUGUGACCGGGAAUCCCAUUUCCCUUUCAAGUUCAAAAUGUUCCCCUGAAACAAUGUUUUUCCAACCUGGUAAUCGGGAAUGAACAAUCUCUGUCCUGGGCUGACAGGGCUGAGAGAUGUAAAAGCAGCCAAAGAAUUCUGGUCCAUUCAGACCUUUACAACUCCCUAGAGAGAAAAGGGGGUUAAUAGUUGUUUCCUGUUCUAUUUUUAAAGAUGGCUUUAAAAAGACAAGAGAAAGCUAAAUUUAGCAAGUUUUUUAAGUGAGAAGGAUCCACUAAGGAAGUACACAAGGCCAUGUGAGAUUCCACUCUGGGUAUCUGCAUCAACAGCAGGGACGUGACCUCGAGGCUUAGGUCACUUCUCUCCCCAGAGAUGGUAUUUAAGGGGCCCUCGGUGGAGGCAGGCAUCAGACCCUCUUCACCUCCUGAGUCUCCCUGCUCACCUCUCCUCUCUACUCAGAGUCCUCUCUACCGACACCAUGGGCUGCUGUGGUUGUGGAAGUUGUGGCGGCUGCGGCGGGGGCUGCGGCGGGGGCUGCGGCGGCUGCGGCGGCAGCUGUGGCGGCGGCUGCGGUGGCGGCUGCGGCGGCAGCUGCGGCGGCUGCAACAGCUGCAGGUGCUACCGGGUGGGCUGCUGCACCAGCUGCUGCCCCUGCUGCUACGGCUGCUGCGGGGGCUGCUGCAGCGUCCCCGUGGUCUGCUGCCACCGCCGCACCUGCAGCUGCAACUCGUGUGGCUGCGGCGGUGGGAAGGGCUGUUGCCAGCAGAAGGGCUGCUGUCAGCAGAAGUGCAGCUGCCACAAGCAGUGCUGCCACUAGACGGGCUGCUCUUCGGGUGCUGCUGGUACCCAUCCUGUUGGUAAGAUUUCCCACCUUCUCACCCGUUUUUCCUCUACUUUAUGGUCCUGGACCCUCUUCCUGGCUUUCUUUGGUACCACAAAUCCCUUCAUCUGGAAAGUUUCCCAUCUAAAAAGGAAACAUCUAAUGGAAAAAUUCUGUGUGCAGCCCAGUACCUGAGUGAUUGUGCACAUCAGUAAACUCAGCCGAACGAAAUCUUGAUUCCUAAUGUUUGGUUUGGUGGAUGUGAAUACAUCCAGCUGAAUAGCACCAUGCGGCUCCUUCCUUGAUCUACUUUUCCCUGCCUGCAGGCAUGGUUUUCUUUUUUCCCUUUUGUGUUCUUAGUUAUCCCAUAAUGUUGUCCAAAUUUCCUAAUAAAAUAAAAACUAGAUACCCAUAAGAAACCAGUCUUUUGUCUUCAUUGUGUUUUGAUCACACUGAUUCCUGGUUUGUCUGUUCUGAAACUUUGGAGAGAAUUAGUCUUUGAACAAAGCCUUCAACUCCCUCGCAGUGGCAGCAUCGCAAGCAAAGGUCAUAUAAGAAGUUCUGCCAGGUCUAGGGGGACCAACCUCUCUUCCCAGUGAAACAUCACUUUGCCUCCGUGACCCCUCCCUCCCUUACACCCUAAUGUGUCGACUCCUCCGUUUUAUUGAUGCAAACUGACAUGGCCCAUCUGCAGCUGCUCUGCAAGCCAAGCACGGCCACUCUCUUCAGGACCCA
RNAcentral lists this long non-coding RNA (1690 nucleotides) under Cervus hanglu yarkandensis (Yarkand deer). RNAcentral's name for it is "lncRNA (ENSCHYG00000016752.1)". Lineage: Eukaryota; Metazoa; Chordata; Mammalia; Artiodactyla; Cervidae. The record is from RNAcentral.